GGAUCUGGAACAUCGGAUUACUCAUCUGGUGGCAGGUGGGUGUCGGAGCUGGCUGUGGACCCCACCGUCUGUAGCCAGUCCGCAGCAGCUUUCCUCUCUGGCAAACUCACAGCAAGCAUGCAGGGUGAUAAAACGGCAGUGACAAAUCCAGUGCAAUCAGGUGGGAAAUCCCCCCUGAGUAAUAACACCUCCUCAUCGCUCAUCCCGACCUCUUCCCCUGAGCCCCGCGUCUGCCGCUGAGAACUCAGCGCUGUUUUACCUUCAGCCCUGAGCUCCGCACAGGAAAAAGAAGAGAAAAGUGAGACACGGGAGUCUGGAGGAUCUCAAUCAAUGGUCAGAAAGGAGUACCCAGAAUGUCUACUGAUUGCCUCACUCCACGCAGAAUAUGCAACAUUCAUCCUUUCUCUAUCGCACCCUCCCUGCAUCUCCCAUCAUUCUUGACUCAGAGAAGAAGGCGUCAAGCAUCCUUUCAAGUACCUUCCCCAGGGUUGUCAUCAACUUAACUCCUCUUCAGUUUCCACUGCUACUAGUAAAGUAAUCAUGAUUUACGAAGAAUCCAUGGAAAAAUUUUGCAUCUAUUAAUUAUCUGACUUAAUCUUUGCCAGAUCGUUAUUAAGCAAGAAUUACUAUUACCCUGAUUUUCACAGAUGAGGAAAUUGAGGAUAAGGAAAUUUAGGAACCUGCCUAGAGUUACACAACAAGGAAGUUGCAGAGGGGAGGGUUUUUGCCAAGGUUUCUAUGAUUCCAAUGUUAUCACUUUUCUAAUGCAUCUGCUGACCGAGACUGAAGAAUCAACUACCUCCUCCAGGUAGGUGGUGCCUGGAUCUGUGUCCUCCUCCUUCAGGUAUCUCUCUUCUGUGGUCCUAUUGUCACUCUCUUGAUUCAGUUGGUCAUCAUCUUUCACCAGAACCAUGACCUUUGCUUCCCCCAGCCCAUCCUUCACAUUCCACUAGAAUCAUCUUUCUAAACAGAAGUUCCUAUUCUCAUAUUCCCCUUUCCAACUAUUUUCAUGGAUCUCAAGUAUUAGUGAAAUGAGAAAAAUGUCCAUCUAUCUUGGCAUUCCAGUUCUGCUCCUACUAUAUUCAUACAACUUCUGGCAUAUUAUUUAAGCACCGAGAAACAGUUUUCUCUCAUUGAAAAUGGACACUGUAAUCCCUAUUUAACUGCAAGGAGUAAAUAAAAUCACAUAUGAUGAUUGCCUAAUAAAGUGGCUGUCCCCCAGAAAUGCCUUAAUGAAUUGUGUUUCUUCUAGAAGGUCAGUCACCCAAGAAAUCUCUGGGACUGAGGAGAACGGGGGAACAGGAGACAGAUCGGAGAGGCUGGGACAUGGAGAUUUGCUUCAGAUGCAAAGAACUCAUCUCCUAGAAUUUUGCAGCAUCUUCCAGAGUCUAAGCUUGUGUUUUGACGUGCCCUUUCCAAGACACUGGGAUACGUGAAGCUCAGUGAAUCAGGAGCGUUUACGGAGGAGAAAGAAAAUAAGAUCUUCUCCCCAGCUAAAAAUCCAGGCAUUGUCCUUGGCUGGAAAACCUCUCUUGGAUUGUAUGGACAGACUGAAAAUACAUCUUAGCAUCCAAACAUAGACAGCCAGGGCAUGGACUCAGGCUUGAUGCCCAAAGAGAUCCUCAUCAUCAUACCUUAGAAGUACCACAUCCUUUGUUCUUCCUGGCUAAACCCCUUCAGCCAACAUCCCUGCCUGCAGGGUAAGCAAUUUACUUACAGUUAAACUGCUAAUAAGUAGGGAAUCAUGGAUCAAUCAGAAACACUAAAUAUUUCAAAAUAUUUAGGGUCAAUAUUUCAAAAAACAUUGCAACAUUUGUACAUUUACCUGCUACAAGUUUGCAUGGGCAGGAACCAUAUCAAGUCCAUUAAAAUUCCUGAUUUCCUUAUGUCUAGCAAAAUCUUUGAUCACUAGUUAUGUAUAUUUCAGUUAAUAAAAAUGAAGAGCAUGAGUACUCUUCCAUAAGAAAUGCAGCGUGUUGGGAUAUACAGAAUUUUGCAAAACAGAGUAGAAUGGGGAUGGUUAUCAUAACGCAGUGGGCCCAUCAGUGUAGUGGAGUUCAACAUUUUUGAUUCCUUCCAAAUUUCCAGAUUUCAUCUUUGAUGUUGGGAAUGUAAAGACUGAUAUAGCACAAUCAUGGUCCUCCAGAAAUGUAUCAGAUUGUUGGGGAAACAAAUAGAUGCAGAAAUAGUUAUCUGCGUGAUACAGCAAAUACAAACAUGUGCAAGAUGCUCCAAGGAUGUAGAAAGAGAAGCCCUGGUUGGGCUUGUGUGGAGGAGAUGUGGGAAAGGGGGCUUUCUCAAGGAAGCAAUGUCUGAACUCAGACGUGAAGGAACAGCAGAGCUUACCCUCCCCACAGGAGGUUGUACUGUACAGCAUGAGCAAAGAAAGGAGGAAGGUGUAAAGACAUUACCUUUGGUGCAAAGAUUGGCAUAGCUGUCCCACAACCUAUUUGAAUUAACAUUUGUCAAUGAGACACCAACAUCAAAUGCUAUCACUGACAUGUGGAAUCUAAAAAAAGGACACAAUGAACUUCUUUGCAGAACAGAUACUGACUCACAGACUUUGAAAAACUUACGGUUUCCAAAUGAGACAGGUUAGCGGGUGGGGGGAUGCACUGAGGGUUUGGGAUGGAAAUGCUGUAAAAUUUGGUUGUGAUGAUUGUUGUACACCUAUAAAUGUAAUAAAAUUCAUUAAGUAAUAAAAAAGGAAAAAAAAACUUUACAAUGAUAUAUAAAAAAUAAUAAUGUUUAUCAUGGUAGGUCUCCAUGCAUUAAGAAUUUACUGAGAGGCUAUUCUAUGCCAAGCCUAACAGUGGGCACCCAGGGUGGAUAGCUCAAAUGUCAUGUCUCCAAAAAUCCACAUUUCAGGAGAGAAAACGAUGCAACACUGUGCAAUGAGCUUGAAAGACCUCACCCAUAAUACAUGCUGGACCAGGAGCUUUAUUUGGUAGAAAUGCUUUGAGAAUAUUUUUUUUGUUUUUAUCUUGCCACUGGAUGUGUCCAUUCUGUUUAGUAAUUCUUCAGUCAAUAAUAACCAUUCAUAUCACCUCCCCUAAUUGCCAUUUUUAUAAGAUUUUUUAAAAUUUAUUAAGAAAAAAAUGUGUAUAAUAUUCUCUCUCAAAAAAAAAAAAA
RNAcentral lists this long non-coding RNA (3132 nucleotides) under Sus scrofa (pig). Its description in RNAcentral is "lncRNA (ENSSSCG00030012399.1, ENSSSCG00050015771.1)". The record is from RNAcentral. Lineage: Eukaryota; Metazoa; Chordata; Mammalia; Artiodactyla; Suidae.